Molecule: ribosomal RNA, 864 nt
Filed under: Polystigma sp. UB 4202
Lineage: Eukaryota; Fungi; Ascomycota; Sordariomycetes; Phyllachorales; Phyllachoraceae
Description: partial large subunit ribosomal RNA
Rfam family: Eukaryotic large subunit ribosomal RNA
Source: RNAcentral
GAGGAAAAGAAACCAACAGGGAUUGCCCCAGUAACGGCGAGUGAAGCGGCAACAGCUCAAAUUUGAAAUCCGGCCUCGGCCCGAGUUGUAAUUUGCAGAGGAUGCUUCGGGCGCGGCGCCUCCCGAGUCCCCUGGAACGGGGCGCCAGAGAGGGUGAGAGCCCCGUACGGUUGGACGCUCAGCCCGCGUGAAGCUCCCUCGACGAGUCGAGUAGUUUGGGAAUGCUGCUCCAAGCGGGAGGUACAUUCCUUCUAAAGCUAAAUACCGGCCAGAGACCGAUAGCGCACAAGUAGAGUGAUCGAAAGAUGAAAAGCACUUUGGAAAGAGAGUCAAACAGCACGUGAAAUUGUUGAAGGGGAAGCGCCCGUGGCCAGACCCGGCCGUGCCGAUCUCCUGGUGCUCGCACCGGUGCACUCGGCACGGCGCAGGCCAGCGUCGGUCUUUGUCGGGGGACAAAGCCGCUGGGAACGUGGCCCCCCCUCACGGGGGGGUGUUAUAGCUUGGCGGUAUACCCCGGCGGGGACCGAGGUCCGCGCCCCGCGAGGACGCUGGCGUAAUGGCCAUCGGCGACCCGUCUUGAAACACGGACCAAGGAGUCAAGGUUUUGCGCGAGUGUACGGGUGUCAAGCCCGCACGCGCAAUGAAAGUGAACGCAGGUGGGAGCCUCGGCGCACCACCGACCGAUCCCGAUGUUCUCGGACGGAUUUGAGUAGGAGCGCGAUGCCUUGGACCCGAAAGAUGGUGAACUAUGCUUGGAUAGGGUGAAGCCAGAGGAAACUCUGGUGGAGGCUCGCAGCGGUUCUGACGUGCAAAUCGAUCGUCGAAUCUGAGCAUGGGGGCGAAAGACUAAUCGAACCAUCUAGU